GCCUUCGUGGUGUAACGGUAACACACUUUGUGAGUAUUCGAGAGGUCCAGGUUCGAGUCCCGGCGAGGGCA
Molecule: transfer RNA, 71 nt
Filed under: Stegodyphus mimosarum
Lineage: Eukaryota; Metazoa; Arthropoda; Arachnida; Araneae; Eresidae
Rfam family: tRNA
About the family: Transfer RNA (tRNA) molecules are approximately 80 nucleotides in length. Their secondary structure includes four short double-helical elements and three loops (D, anti-codon, and T loops).
Source: Rfam by way of RNAcentral